AUGGCUCCUACUGUUAAUGGCACCAUGAAUGUGCUUAAGGCUUGCUCUGCUAUGAGCGUUCAAAAACUUAUUGUGGUUUCAUCCGGCGCUGCUAUUACUUUGAACCCAAAUUGGCCUCUAGAUAAACUGAAAGAUGAGGAUUGCUGGUCAGACAAAGAGUUCUGCAAGGAAAAUGAGAUCUGGUAUGCCCUUGCCAAGACGGAAGCUGAAGAGAUGGCCCUGGAAUACGCAGAGAGAAAUGGAUUACAUGUCAUUACAUUUUGCUCCGGUGCGGUCUUUGGCCCACUGUUGCAGGCUGAUGUGCUCAAUAUUACCACCAAAUACCUCCGCUAUAUCAUAAAAGGAGGUCCUGACACAAUAAAUAACAAAUUCUGGCCCAUAGUAGACGUCCGUGAUGUUGCUGAUGCACUACUGCUGUUAUACAACAAGGCAGGACCAUAUCAGAGGUACAUAUGUUCAGAGCACCAAAUUGACAUAAAAUAUUUGGUGGAUUUGAUGAAGAGCAUGUACCCCAGCUAUAACUAUGCAGACAAAUUUUCACCACUUUUUUUGUUUAGACUGGUUGAUGUGGAUUAUAAGCUUGGGAUGAAUUCAGAUAAACUUAAGAAUCUAGGAUGGAAACCGAGGAAGUUGGAGGAGACACUCGCAGAUAGCGUCGAGUCAUACGAGAAAUCAGGAAUCCUUAAUGCGGAGGAGGAACCUUGUCGUGUUCCGUAUUUCUACCGUAUGCCACAUGUCCUGGAGUGA
Molecule: ribosomal RNA, 747 nt
Filed under: Triticum aestivum (bread wheat)
Lineage: Eukaryota; Viridiplantae; Streptophyta; Magnoliopsida; Poales; Poaceae
Description: partial small subunit ribosomal RNA
Source: RNAcentral